Molecule: small nucleolar RNA, 79 nt
Organism: Mercenaria mercenaria
Lineage: Eukaryota; Metazoa; Mollusca; Bivalvia; Venerida; Veneridae
Product: small nucleolar RNA SNORD35
Exons: 1
Source: RefSeq, a predicted model, not a curated record
UACAGAUGAUGUUUUCUCACGAUGGUCUUCUGAUGUAUUUAUGGAGACAACUGCCAAAUGGCAUGGCUGAUGUAGACAC